This 465-nucleotide ribosomal RNA is filed under the name uncultured bacterium. RNAcentral's name for it is "partial 16S ribosomal RNA". It matches the Rfam family "Bacterial small subunit ribosomal RNA", at positions 28 to 507 of the family's 1533-position model. The record is from RNAcentral.
GACGAACGCUGGCGGCGUGCUUAACACAUGCAAGUCGAACGGAAAGGCCCCUUUGGGGGUACUCGAGUGGCGAACGGGUGAGUAACACGUGAGUAACCUGCCCUUGACUUCGGGAUAACUUCAGGAAACUGGGGCUAAUACCGGAUAGGAAUCCUUGCUGCAUGGUGGGGGUUGGAAAGCUUCGGCGGUUUUGGAUGGACUCGCGGCUUAUCAGCUUGUUGGGGGGGUAGUGGCUUACCAAGGCCUGUACGGGUAGCCGGCCUGAGCGGGCGACCGGCCACAUUGAGACUGAGAUACGGCCCAGACUCCUACGGGAGGCAGCAGUGGGGAAUCUUGCACAAUGGGCGGCAGCCUGAUGCAGCAGCGCCGCGUGCGGUAUGACGGCCUUCGGGUUGUCAAACGCUUUCAGCAGGGGCGAAGCUUGUGGUGACGGUACCUGAAGAAGAAGCACCGGCUAACUACGUG